This 376-nucleotide ribosomal RNA is filed under the name uncultured bacterium. RNAcentral describes it as "bacterial SSU rRNA". It matches the Rfam family "Bacterial small subunit ribosomal RNA", at positions 524 to 898 of the family's 1533-position model. The record is from RNAcentral.
UACGUAGGUGGCAAGCGAUACUCGGAAUCACUAGGCGUAAAGCGCAGGUAGGUGGUUUGAUAAGUCUUUUGUGAAAGCUCCUGGCUCAACUGGGAGAGGUCAAGGGAAACUGUCAGACUAGAGUUUGGUAGGGGAUACUGGAAUUCCUGGUGUAGCGGUGAAAUGCGUAGAUAUCAGGAGGAAUACCUAUGGCGAAAGCAGGUAUCUGGGCCAUAACUGACACUGAGCUGCGAAAGCUAGGGGAGCAAACAGGAUUAGAUACCCUGGUAGUCCUAGCCCUAAACGAUGUUCAUUAGAUGUGGGAGGUAUCGACCCCUUCCGCGUCGCAGCUAACGCAUUAAAUGAACCGCCUGGGGAGUACGGCCGCAAGGUUGAA